Molecule: transfer RNA, 70 nt
Filed under: Horadandia atukorali (golden rasbora)
Lineage: Eukaryota; Metazoa; Chordata; Actinopteri; Cypriniformes; Danionidae
Description: tRNA-Ala
Rfam family: tRNA
About the family: Transfer RNA (tRNA) molecules are approximately 80 nucleotides in length.
Source: RNAcentral
AAGGGCCUUAGUUUAAUUAAAAUGUAUGACUUGCAAUCAUAAGAUGCAGAGUAAAAUCUGUGGGUCCUAU